GGAAAACGCUGGGCGGCGUGCCUAAUACAUGCAUGUCGAGCGCAGGAAAUCGACGGAACCCUUCGGGGGGAAGUCGACGGAAUGAGCGGCGGACGGGUGAGUAACACGUAAAGAACCUGCCCUCAGGUCUGGGAUAACCACGAGAAAUCGGGGCUAAUACCGGAUGGGUCAUCGGACCGCAUGGUCCGAGGAUGAAAGGCGCUCCGGCGUCGCCUGGGGAUGGCUUUGCGGUGCAUUAGCUAGUUGGUGGGGUAAUGGCCCACCAAGGCGACGAUGCAUAGCCGACCUGAGAGGGUGAUCGGCCACACUGGGACUGAGACACGGCCCAGACUCCUACGGGAGGCAGCAGUAGGGAAUCUUCCACAAUGGACGAAAGUCUGAUGGAGCAACGCCGCGUGAACGAUGAAGGCCUUCGGGUCGUAAAGUUCUGUUGUAAGGGAAGAACAAGUGCCGCAGGCAAUGGCGGCACCUUGACGGUACCUUGCGAGAAAGCCACGGCUAACUACGUGCCAGCAGCCGCGGUAAUACGUAGGUGGGCAAGCGUUGUCCGGAAUUAUUGGGCGUAAAGCGCGCGCAGGCGGCCUCUUAAGUCUGAUGAGAAACCCCCCGGUUCACCGGGGAAGGGCCAUUGGAAAACUGGGGAGGUUUGAUUAUAGAAAAAAAAAGUGGAAUUCCCCUUGUGCGGUGAAAUGCGAAAAGGGGAAGAACCCGGGG
This 714-nucleotide ribosomal RNA is filed under the name Exiguobacterium sp. HPC960. Its description in RNAcentral is "bacterial SSU rRNA". It matches the Rfam family "Bacterial small subunit ribosomal RNA", at positions 28 to 713 of the family's 1533-position model. The record is from RNAcentral. Lineage: Bacteria; Bacillati; Bacillota; Bacilli; Caryophanales.